UGAAUGACUGGUGAAAGACUGAGAGAUGA
This 29-nucleotide non-coding RNA is filed under the name Mus musculus (house mouse). Lineage: Eukaryota; Metazoa; Chordata; Mammalia; Rodentia; Muridae. The record is from RNAcentral.